RNAcentral lists this ribosomal RNA (253 nucleotides) under uncultured bacterium. Its description in RNAcentral is "partial 16S ribosomal RNA". It matches the Rfam family "Bacterial small subunit ribosomal RNA", at positions 524 to 776 of the family's 1533-position model. The record is from RNAcentral.
UACGAAGGGGGCGAGCGUUGUUCGGAAUUACUGGGCGUAAAGGGCGCGUAGGCGGCAAUUCAAGUCACUUGUGAAAUCUCUGAGCUUAACUCAGAACGGUCAAGUGAUACUGCUUUGCUAGAGUGCAGAAGGGGCAACCGGAAUUCUUGGUGUAGCGGUGAAAUGCGUAGAUAUCAAGAGGAACACCGGAGGUGAAGACGGGUUGCUGGGCUGACACUGACGCUGAGGCGCGAAAGCUAGGGGAGCGAACGGG